GACGAACGCUGGCGGCGUGCUUAACACAUGCAAGUCGAACGGAAAGGCCCUGCUUUUGUGGGGUGCUCGAGUGGCGAACGGGUGAGUAACACGUGAGUAACCUGCCCUUGACUUUGGGAUAACUUCAGGAAACUGGGGCUAAUACCGGAUAGGAGCUCCUGCUGCAUGGUGGGGGUUGGAAAGUUUCGGCGGUUGGGGCUGGUCUCGCGGCUUAUCAGCUUGUUGGGGGGGUAGGGGCUUACCAAGGCUUUGACGGGUAGCCGGCCUGGGAGGGUGACCGGCCACCUGGGGCCUGCGAUACGCCCCAGACUCCUACGGGGCGCAGCGGUGGGGAAUAUUGCACAGUGGGCGGAAGCCUGAUGCAGCAGCGCCGCGUGCGUGAUGACGGCCUACGGGUUGUAAACCGCUUUCGCCUUUGCCGAAGCCUGAGUGACGGUAACGGGUAAAGAAGCACCGGCUAACUACGUG
This 468-nucleotide ribosomal RNA is filed under the name uncultured bacterium. RNAcentral's name for it is "partial 16S ribosomal RNA". It matches the Rfam family "Bacterial small subunit ribosomal RNA", at positions 28 to 507 of the family's 1533-position model. The record is from RNAcentral.